Molecule: long non-coding RNA, 11697 nt
Filed under: Heterocephalus glaber (naked mole-rat)
Lineage: Eukaryota; Metazoa; Chordata; Mammalia; Rodentia; Bathyergidae
Description: lncRNA (ENSHGLG00000041700.1)
Source: RNAcentral
CAAUAUUGUCAGUACCCACUGGAGGGGCCCUGGGCAAGUUGCUUUUCUUUUUAAAUUACAGGAAAAUGGGAAGGGCUGUUGUUGAAACUACAAUCAGUUGAGAGGUUGGAAGAGCCUAGUGAUUCCAAAUGCAGAAUCAAAAGGCCAAAUUGGUAUUUGAUGCAACAAGGAAAUGUGUUGAAUACAUCAUCAAUCGGGCUCCGCAAAGGAAGGGUCAUGGGGUGACUGGCACAGUUACAGGAUGUGGGCAGCAGGCCAAUCAGAGAGUGUGUGGCGGAGGAGGUGAGUCGAUGGCCAUGAAAUUAUGGACGCUUAGGAAUGGCUGGAGGCAAAGGACAGGCUGACAAUCUCCUCAACCAGACAUGUGCAAGACUUCUGUCUUCAACCAUCUUCAACUGCUUAUUAUUACGAGGGAAACUUCUUAGCUCCAAGGCACCCAGUACCAAGAAGUAAACCCAGAAGCUUGGAACCAGGGCUCAGGAACAAGAGCCACUUGAUUUAGCAGAUUGGAUUGGAAAUUUAUCAGGCUGCCUAGAGCUCCAGCAAGGAAAGAGAUGUCAAGGUGCCCACCAAAGGAAAUUAGACUUGUUAUUUUUUUGACUCCCUGAUGUGGCGGUUCAAUAUUCUCAAAAGCGUCAAGAGGACAAGGGUUUCCUAGAAACCUUUCCAGAGUGAAUAUGCUAGGGUGAGGAAAUGGCCCCAAACUGCCUUAACUGGGCAUUGAUUCUAAAGAAUCAAUGUGCAUUUAAUUCUACAAUAAAAUGGCAGGGAACCACCCAGCUCUCCCAAGAGCUCAUAGCUCAGAGAAAAUCUCUAAGGAAGUCACAAAAGUUUGCAGACAAUAUUUGUGCCAGAACUGAACCAUGCAGCACUAAAAACCCUCAAUCCCUGUGAACAGGCCUGGCUAAGGAUUUCUUUUUAAAAGGAGUCCCAUUCAGUGGUAACUACAGAGAGAACUAUCUGUCUUAUUUAUCUAACAAAGUAGAUCAGGCAGAAAUGAAGUUGCGGUCAUUUUACAAGGUUUUUAGAUUAUUAAUCUGAAUCAUCAAUGAAAGCUUUCAUUAAAUUGCACCCUAGAAAUUGAUUUGCAAUGGGUCAUUCCAAUGUGCUAUGCAAAGUUGCUGUGGAAAAUUAGUCAUCCUAGACUCCCUAAAGAAUAGAGACAUGACAUCCGGGCAUCUGUUAAGUUUGCUCAAAAACAUAUGCGAGCCCUUUUUUAAAGAACCAUAAUUACAUCCUGCUGAAACCUCCAAGGACCUUGCUAACUGCCUUUGUAUUACAACAUCCAUUUCCCACUUAGGAGGCUCUGCUCUGCUAUUUAGAAGUGUGUUUCAAUCUGCUAGCCCAUCUAGCACACUUUCCCAUCUACAGUCUGCAAAUGGUCAAGUCCUUCCAUGCUCCAAGAAGACCAACUUGGAGGAAGCAGGAGUUGUACAGUGGUGAGUGUAUGUGUCCUUUGUUAAACUAUGACCAGGAAUUUGGAGCUGAAAGGGACUUUAGCAAUGAUUCAGACCAAGCCUCUCACUUUCAGAUGGUGCCACUGAAAAUCAGAGAGGGAAGUGGUUUGUCCAAGGCUGCAUAGCUAAAAUCUGAAACAAUAUAUAGUGUCGUGGUUAAGAGUACGGGCUCUGGGGUCACAGCCCUAGUCCGUGCUCUCUCGCUUAUGUGCUGUGUGACUGUGUGGAAGCACUUCACUUCCCUGAGUCACAGCUCCUUUAUUUAUAAAAUGUAAGCUGAAGCAACACCUGAGUGCAAUGAGUGCCCAGUGAACAUUAGCUGCUGAUAUCCUGUUCAUCUUCCCAAACGUAACCUCGUGUAGUCUCUGAAACACCCUAUGAGGGAGAAGGGGCUGAGAUCACUCACCUCAUAACACAGCUUAAAAAAUGACUCUUCCAAAGCCACACAGACCCCCCACUCCAGUUUCUCAUGAUCCUGCUGCUGUGGACAGGAGGGAGCUCGGGCCCCAUUCCCCUCUCAUCAGCGUUCUUCAUUUCUCUAGAGAUGAGCAAGGAAACUGGCUUAUUUGUUUCCACACGGGAGAAAAUCAGUGUGGCUCCCUUAUUCAGUCCCCUGCUGGGACCCUGCCCUGGGGGAGGGAAGAGCAGUGGCACCCUGAGCCUGCUAGGGACAUUGGGGGCACAUGUGUCUGGGCAGGCAACAUAUUACUUCAGGACCCUACAGCAUAUUUUAAAGCUGACAUCAGAGUACUUGUCAAUGCUCCAUCCGCCUGCCCUCCUGACCCCCAAAUCUGGCCUUUGGGAAAAUCUAAUUGCCUGCCCUGAGUGACACGGGAGCUGUGUGAGUGAUAAAGUUGUAGACAGUCACUCUGUGAUUAUGUGCCCUAAUGGGAGAGGAAAUGCACUGAACGAAUGUGUGAGUGGAUGAAUGAAUGCAUCGGGGUUACUUAUUCCAAGCUCUGGAGGGCAAUAUAAUGAUGUCUCCAUCAACGCACCUUCUGGGAACUCAGUCCCUGGAAGGAUAUCAGACAAGGACAGGGCCACAGGGCUGUCUUCGGUGUAGAUCCUGUACCUCGGGCUGCUCUGGGCCUCAUGGAGGAAGGCUUCCUGCAGCCCCCAGGAAGUACUCUGGGCCCUCAAGGAAGGUGGAGGUGGCCACUCCCUAGACCCCAGGACAGAGAGGAUCCUGGGGAGGCACAGCCUGUGACAGCAGGCAAGCUGGGACUCUGCCACCCUGUCAGUGGAGCCUGGGGGCCUCUGGGAAAAGCCACCACCACGAGCACCUUGGAGGCCAGGUCUUCGCUCACCCUCUCCACAGCCUUUGAAGAAUAGUUCCUGGAGAGCCUACAGUGUGCCAGAUAUGAGAACAGAGCACAAAAAAGGAGCACCACUUGGCCUGAGUCCACGAUAAGUCUGUUGUUAAGUAGGAGAAACGGGGAAAGAGCUGUCCACAGCACAAGUGUGACAAGUAUCACCCCAGAGGUCAGUGCAGGAGCCCUGGGGUGUGGGACUGGUAGGCAAGGCUCCUCCAAAGAGGGGACUCCUGCUUUGAAGGCUGAGGGCAGGGAGCAGAACAGCAGAGUCAGCGGAUGGCUGUUCUUGGGAGAGGAAACCGUGCGAUCAAAUGCUCAGGACCUGGGAGAGCCUCCUGAGGAGCCAGGGAGUUACAGAGGCAGCUGUACCAAGGACCUGAUCCCACUUCUGCCUCUUGCGUAUGACAGUUCUGGGCCUCAGGUCCUUGUCUGCACAAUGAUGACUCUGGAUUUAAAGACCCAAGUAUCCAAGGGAACCCAUCAGACUUAAGAAGGCUGUUCAGGGCAAUCCCAGGACAAAAGAGCAGAACGGACACAGGCAUCAACAGAACAUCCAGCAGCCACUGUACCACAGCUUCUAGGCUCCAGCUAGUGGUCUCUUUAGUGUUUAGUGGGGAGGAGCAGCACAGGGCUACACUGCACCCAGCUCUCACUGAGCACGUUCUCCAUGUCCUUGCGGUGUCUCUCAGACAACCCCAAGUAUUAUCACCUAAAGAAAGCACACCAAAUCCAGGAAAAGUGUAAUCAUCUAUCAUUUUACAGGUAGGAAAACUAAGGCUCAAAAAGGAGCAAUCUGUGCAUGGUUCCAUUGAAAGGCCUGGGUCCAGAAUUUCACUUGGGAUCUAUUUGAUUUUGGACCCAGCUCUUCCCAGGACACCCUCUGGCCCCAAGAAAGCUCUGCCAGGCCCAUCUCAGGGACCUGACACCUUUCUGCAGUCCAGUCCCCCACAUUCGCCUCUCCCCCGAAGCUCCUGGAGCCCCGCCUCCGCAAAUGGGCCCUCUAGGGAAAGCUACAGAAAGAGGGCUACUCGGGGAGAACUGCAGGAAGAAGGAAGGAAGGGAAGGCCAUCUCCGGCCUCCUGCCAUCUGCCAAGCUCCAGACCGGUGAGGGUUCCGCAGAAGGGCAGAUCAGUGGGCACAGCUGCUGCCUCUGUACUGGCCAGCACGGGGCUCUUAGGAGACAGGAGCCACCUGACAUCAUGCCUGCUGGUAACCUGCCCCUGGAUGACUGCUCCUUCUUUGCCCCAGCUGGGCCCAUCCUGAAGGCCCAGGGGCAAGGUCAGCCCUCAGGGGAAGGGGCCAGGUGGGGCUCUUUUGAGUGGCUGCUGAAAUGAGGGAUAAUUUUGAUUACUAACGUUUCCCACAAGACCUCCCCAUUCUCAGAGCUGCUCCUACUUCCCCCUCACAGGCUGCUUCUAGAAUCAGGCCGCUUUCACUUCCUACCGAGAGAGCAAAGGUGAUGCCCCUUUGGGCUUAGCUCAUUCUGGGAGGUAUUAGUGGACAAAAGACCAGGAGUUUUAAAGGCAUAAGACCUUGUCUGGAUCCUUAUUUCUCCAGGAAGAUAAACACUUAUUUUUUAAAAGUCUUUUUAAUCACUGGCACACACAUUCCAUAAAGAGGGUCUAAGUAUCAGCCAAACACUGAAUUUAUUUAAAUGCAAUUCUACUAAAGCAGAUAGAAGGGAAAGUGUGCCAUUUGAAACCUCUUUAACUUCACUGAGCAGUUGCUGAGUCCUGGUGUGACUUCAGCCCUGUGUUUGACUCCAGAAAACAGAAUGCAAACCCAAGCCUCAGUCUCUGCCCUCCAGCAUCUGACAGUCUAGUUGGGAACAUGACACUGGAAUGACUCCAGUCACUGUGCCUGGUUGGCCCCUGCUGCCUAUUUACUGUCUACUAGUCCUCUCUCAGUACUCGAUCUUCCAAAGAAGCCCAGGAUAUGACAGCUGUGUUUUUUCCCCAUUUAAUAAAGGAGGAAGCAGAGGCCAAGGCAUACAGAGGUGAAAUGAUUUUCUGAAGGCCAAUAAGCCAGGAUUUUCAUAAAUUUGACUCCAUAGCUGACUCUUAACCUACAAGUGACUUAGUGAAAUCAUGCAUCAGGUAGGGAAAAAACUGAAAGAGACUUGGAGUCUGAAGGAAGAAGAGAUGAGAAAAGUUUCAAAUGGAUGGAUCUUGAAAAGUGGCUAAAGGUGGCUGGUGGGUGGCUGAUGAAAAGCAGGUCCUGUCUGAGAUGGCACAAAGCUACUGUCUGGAUACCACUGAAACGGGUUCCGAACAUAUGUGGAAAGUCACCUCCACUUGGGAUCACUGCUGGCUUUCCAAAAGAAGGAAAGAUGUGAAUUUCUUGCACUCAGAAAGAAGUUAGGUACUAGGAAUGAUAACAUUUUGGUCAGAGGUCUUCCUAGGAAGGGGGGAAAACAAAAGUCAAAAUUAUUGUUGCAUGGGUAAACCUAGCUUUGCCCAGAGAAUGAAAUCAUAAGAAGCUACAGGAGGUAACAGUUCCUUGUAAAGUUCUCUAACUAAAAGCACUCCCUGGUGGCAUUGCCUGUGAAGCAAACCACUAUUUUAUAAUCAAAAACAAGCCCUAAGCUCCUGAAACUUGCAACACAUGAUGCAUCUGUGUGGAUGUGGUGGUUGUGCUCUUAUGGUGGGAUCUGUCUGUCCCAGAUCAAUUGUGGUUCUGUCUUCCAAUACAUGUUGGCCUCUCACUGUGUGCAGGGGCUCCCAGGUCUGGGCAGAAACAGCAGAGGGACACAAAGACAUUGUGACAAGCUACAGGAACCUAACACCAGUUCACCCAGAACCAAAAUUACAUUUGGAAGGUGGGGACAGACAGGUGACACCCAUUGCUUUCUGAAAACCAGCCAAGGCUCAGUUGGCUCAAGAGAAUGAAGUCUGGCUAUCUGUCUGAGGAACAGGGGGUGGGUGACCCUCUAUCAGGAAGUAGCCUUCCCUGCUUGGGGAAGCAAUAAUUGCAGAGAAGAUAAGAGCAUCUUAUUUCUUGCCUUAUAACAAGAAAUGUAGACUCGGUCUCUAUCCCUAGUACCUGGCUCAAGAAUCCUUGAAAUCUGCUAAGUGAGAAGGUUAAGAGUGUCUUCUGUCAUUUAUUAUUUGUGUUAGUUGUUUGCUAUUUGUUAUUUGAUAGGGAGAUGACUCUCUGUGGACUCCCACAUAGCUGCUGGUUAGGAGCUGGUUCCAGAUGAGCCAAUCGUAUGAUUGACUAGAGGGUUGGAACUUUCAGUCCACUUCCUAACCUCUGGGGAAGGGAAGGGAGAGGAGUUGGAGACUGAGUUCAUAAUGGAACUUCAUAAACAACAUAAAAAAUGGCAUUUGGAGAGCUUGCAGUCUGGUGAGCACCCGAGGUGCUGGUGACGUUGUGCACCUACGUAGGAAAUAGGGGCUCUGGACUCCCUGCCAUGGACCUUGCCUGCUGCAUCUCUUCCAUUUGGCUGAGUUGUGCCCUUUAUAAUAAUCGGGUGACACUGUGUAAACUGUUUUCCUGAAUUCUGGAAGGCAUUCUAGCAAAAGAUCCAAGCUGAGGAAGUGGUUGUGGAAGCCCCUAGUUGACAGCCAGUCAGAAACAUGGUGGCCUGGGCUCCUGAUUGGCAUCUGAAAUGAGGCAAUCUUGUGAGACUGAGCCCUUAGCUUGAAAGGUCAAGUUGAUUGUGUCGGAAGUGAACUGAAUUGUGAGACACUCUGCCCAUGGCCAAGAACAGGUCAGUGCCAGAAGGGUUCCGUAGGCAGAGACAGAUGGUGACAGCAGAGCUUCAGAUCCACCUGGGUGAGAAUCCUAGUGCCAACAUGUGUUUCCUUGGAGACGCUGGGGGAAACUACUCAGCCUAAAUUUUCUCACCUGUAAAAUGCAAAUAAUAAUAAUACCCAUAUCCCCAAAUCACUGCAAAGAUUAUAGAACACAGGCUGAUGAUUUGCGGGAUGUGCUCAGUCAGUAACUAAUUGUCAGAUGAGAGAAUGAUGGAUGGAUGGAUGGAUGAGCUCUAAUACUUUCAUCACACUUAGUAUGUUCCAGGCACUUUUCUAAGUGGUAUUAUUAACUUGUUUAAUUCUUGAAACAAUGCUAGAAGGUAGAUACUAUUAUUAUCCCCAUUUUACAAUGAGAAAACUGAGGAAUAAAGAAGAUAAGUGAGUUGUUCAAGGUCACAUGCUGGGGAAAAGUGGCAGAUUUGAAUUUCAAACCCAGGUCUAACCAGAGCCCGUGUUCUCCACACCAUACUCCUUUACACAGGCUUGGCACGCAGUGAUGCUCAGGAGUGGAAGAUGUUGUUAUAGUUGCUGUCCUUCCGUUAUUUAUGCAGUGGAGAAGUGUCCCACACUGAAAUCUGUGUACAUUGGUAGGGUACACAGAUGUGGUACAUCUGUGUGGGUGGUAUCUCAAUGAACUUUCCAAAAAGUCAUGACUAUCAUUUUAUUUUAAUAUGUAUUAGGAAGAAAAAUUAGUAGCACAUCAAACCCAGGAUUUCAUUGAUAUCAUCCCUGUGACAAGGCAAAAGUUUUUAAAAAGUGAGUCAACUUGAGGAUAAGAUACAAAAUCAUAAUAAGGUGACAGAAAUCAGGUUGGUAUCAUAUUAAUGUUGAUAAGGCAUGUGAUUUUUUUUAAAAAGGCAUGGGUAGCUGGGUGUGGCGGUGCACACUUGUGGUCCUAGCACUUGGAGGCUGAGGCAGGAGGAUUGGAAGUUUAUGUCUUGCCUGAGCAACUUUGGGAGUCUCUGUCUCAAAAUAAAAAGGGCUGGGGAAGUAGCUCAGUGGUAGAAAAUCCCUGGGGUCAAUCCCCAGCAUGGAGGGAAAAAAGCACAGCCAUUGUGAUCACACAGAUCUGGCUUCCAGAACCAGGUCUGACUUCACACCUUUAUUUCUCUGUCUGUUAAGUGGGGGCCAUAGCACCCACUUGCGUGCUGUGGAAGUGGAGAUUACAGGUGAUAACGGGCUGCUUGCACACACGUCACAGGCCAAAGCAAGCGCUGGCCCACCCAGCCCAUCCCACUGCCUCACUCACAGAUUCCUGGGGUCUCCACCCUCUGCCCUAUCCUACCAACCUAGCCAGAAACUGUGGCCUUUGCGCCCCAUUCCUGGGCCCCCAGACUCCUCACCACUCAACUCUGGAAAGCAAAUCCCUUCAGCCUCCUCAGCUGUAAUGAUAAGAUUUGGAGACUCCAUAGGAAUCCGAAUGUGAAGAUACUCCAGGGACAUAGUAGAAAUUAGAUGUUUUUCAAUUACCACAGGCAAAGGGCUGCAUGUGGUUCUACUAAUGCAAACUGCUUAUUUGCCGGUUCCCCCUCCGCCGCCCCAUCCGGGCCCUGCCAGUGAUUGAUGGCCACAGAAGGACACGUUGUCAAGCCCCCUUGAUUUCUAUCUGAAGAGAGUUGACUCCCUGGGCUUGGAAUGAUGGCUUCGGCAGCAUGGUCGGCACCAGAAAGAAGCCGCUUUGCAGCUGGGAACUUGCCCUGCCUUCCAAGAAGUUUCUCCCUAAAAGCUUCUCCCUAAAAGCAACACACAUCGAAAGUCCCAGACACAUGCUAGAGCAAGAAUUCAAAGAACUUCAGACCAGUGGCCCGCCUAGUCGUGGUUGUUACCCUGGGAGGAGGAAACCAAGUCCACUGUAAAGUGAGAAUUUUUUAAAUUUCUAAAGACAAAAGAUGGUGGUUCCAAAGUAGAUCCACUAAGACCUCAAUAACAAAAUACAAUUCGUUGGGACUCUGCAUGAGCUCAAAGACAGACAAAGGAGGACUCACUUUUGGUCAGCACCAACGCAAUGCAUCAGGUGCUGUGUUAAGUAUCAUACAUACAUCAUCUCAUUUAAAAUAACUCAACAAAGUAGAAACCAAUAAUAGCACCAUUUGAUAAGUGAAGCAAUGAGUUUCAGAGCUGUUAAGAGACUUUCCCAAGAUCAAAAAGCCAGAACAUGCUAAGGCGGGGUUAGAAACCCAGACUCUUCUCUUUGCCAGAUAUUUGUGUAAUUAUUCCUGGGAUGCCUGGUUGCCCCAUGCAACUGUGACCUCUAGGAGGCCAGCAUGGAAAACACACAUGCACUGGAUGGUUCCAGUGCUCCCUGGACCACCCAUCCCAGAAAGCAGUCAGCCUCCUGCUUCCCAGGCUUUUCUCCCCCUCUUUCUAUCAACUUGUUCCCAAUUUAAUUGAGAAGCCAAUAGCUGCUACCCUCUCCUGGCUCCAUUAGCAGCAAUCUACCCUCAAAGGCCAGGAUCUAUACCACACGAUCCAGUCUCACACUAAUCAAGAUCACUGAGCCAGGGACAGACCCGGAACUCAAGACCAGCCUAUCCAAAGGCUGACAUAUCACUCUGAUGUGCUUUGUUUAAAAAAUGUAAAUAUUCUGAUACUUGUUAAAACAGGAAGACUUUAUUCUAGACUAUUGUAGUAGGGAAGAGAGAUCCGGAUCAACCUUGAAAACAGCAAAAACAGGGAUUCUCCACAAAGCAGAACAAUGAGGGGCCCUGGAAGGAAAAUAACUAAAAGGAGACACCGAGGAUAGGAUUGAUUUUCCUAGAGAAGCAUACACGGCUGGUUUUCCUGAUACAAACUCAGCUGUUCUCAUUGUCAGGGGAGAGCAGGUCCUCACUGUCACCAAGGACGGCUGCUGCUCUCUUUGGGGGAGCUCUGGUCUUCCCUUUGAGUGUUGUUUCCUGGCUCCAGUGCAGAUCCCUGAGCCUGAUGGCAUAGCCCCUUCACCCCACAGGCUCAGACUUUCUAGCUUCCACCACUGGCCUUUGAGCCUUCCUGGAGCCGAUCCUUGAAAGGGACUUGCAUGAGACAUCGCCGUGGGAUCCAGGCCCUCAGCUGGAUUCUUUGGGUCUCUAACAUGUGGACAGAUCUCUUGCACUCUUUUGCAUUUGACUUUCUGGGUGAAUAUUAUAAAAUGAUCAUGUAUUAAUAAUCCUGUGUCCUGUAUUAAAUCUAUUCCCUUGCAAAACCUGACUACAACACACAGAAACUCAAAGAAGAAAGGCACAUCUCGCUGGAGGUGGAGGGAAGAAUAGAUUCACAAGAGUAACACUGAGUUCUCAGAAUUCCCAAUCCCCACAUACCUAAAGACUCACAUUCCCUGCUAUGCAGUGCUCCCAGGCUCACUUUCUCCCAGCACAAAGUCAAAGACAAUUAAAAUCUUUUCCUUUCUAAGAUGCUGCUGUUCUGUGUCACCAAGAGUAUAGCUCAGAGAUCAAAGGAGAGUUCUAACUUCCCUUUUUACUUGCCCCCAAUCAGAAUGUUGGCCCUCAUUCAUUCAACAAGCAUCUGCUGAUCCUUUAUCAUGUGCCAAACACAGUAAUACAUAUUCGGAAUACAGAAACAAAUGGAAAACUGGCUAGCAAAAGUUUGAGAGUAGGCAAUCAAUCACGUGUACACUUAUGCUUGUAAGAUGCACACAGUUUAAGAAUUACAAUUAUUUGUUCUACUUUAUAGCUUCCCAUAAAGCUUUUCUCAUGUCACUGAGGACUUCUGCUUAUUGUAUUUAACAAUUAAAAUGUUUAAAAUUAAAGUAACCAUUUGGAGAAAAGAGUUAUUUUCACCUAAGCUUAAAAUCAAACACUCCCAGGGUCCUCUUAUCUACAACCCACCCUUGGUGGGGGGGCUAGGAGGCCUCCCUCGUUCACCCAGGAAACCAGCAGGAGCCUUCAUUCUGAACAUAAAUGCACCAUGUUCUCAGGUAUCCAAAUUGGCUUUUCUGUGGUGGCAUCACAAGAGAUGAAGGAUGGAAGACCCUGCUGGUUGUAUCCAAGAUGCUGACUUCUGUCCCUCACAUUCCAUAGUGACCGCAGAGACUCUGGGGAGUGUGAGUGCUAGAAAUGGUAACCUGGUCUUUACUUACUCAUACAAGCCAAGGGAGAAAUCCACACACACUCGAGUGUCUCUCAGCUUCCCAGUCUUAAACACAGGUGCACAGCUCUGGCUCAUUCUCCAAAUGCCCUCCAGUUCCCAUGUCGGGGAGUACCCUGACCUGGCAUCCUCAGCCACCUGCUCCAGGCCCACCCGGCCUCUGCUUCCCCCCCACAAUGGACUUGAAUUCAGCCGCCAGCCUUCACUGUUGCUCCCUGUCUGUGGAAGAAGCUGCACUGUAAAAACACCCACUUCGACUCUGCCAACCAUAUCUCCUCCCAUUUCUCUUCCCAACCCCCACAUCCCUCUCUUUCUAAUUACCCCAAAGAGAAAGAAGAUUAAAAACUAAUGCCCUGAGGAUGGGAGUCAGAGACGUCAUUAUUUUGAUUCAAACCCCAGGCAUGGAGAAGCUGAUCUGAGAUUUAGAAGCACCGUAACCUAGGAUGGGUUUUGGAAAACCUUGAUUAAUUGGUCCUCACCUCUAGGCAACCAGUCCCCGGCCCCUUCCCUGGUGCUGUGUGGUAGGGCUUUAAGGAUGAAUGCCACACAGUGUAACACAUGAAACGCAUAAAACACAUUCCAGUAAAAAUGCAACUUGCAAGGGAUGACUUAGAUUCCCACAAAAGGCUCAGCCUAAUUCCUACAUGCCAGAGUCCUGUGAAUUUUAAUUUACUGUGCAGAAUGAUGAGGUCAAGGUGGCUCCUACAGGGAAGCCACAUAAAGAAAGAUCUGGAGACUUUCAUCAACUGAACUUCUGAAGCAGAAAAGCAGACUUCCUUUCAGGAAUAUGUGCAGUAACAGAAGUUUUAGCCAGAAGGAAUUUUAAUGUGACUUUCAGUUAACUAAAAAAAGUAGACCCAAAUGAACCACCAGCAGCCCCUCAGCCCCAUUUUACUCCCCAGAUAUGCCACUUAUAAGGAAUCUUCCCAGUAAAGAAAGGGGAAUAUAUGAUGAAAAAUAACAUAGAUAUCACUUCAUAUUUAAUUGUACACUAAGUGUUGUUUAAAAUACUUCAGGUGCAUAAUACCUCAUAAUCCUCACUAAAGGUUUGGUCAUUAGCUUCCUAAUUUACACCAUGAACAUGCA